AGAAGGUGUUUGAUGGAAUGCUUGAUCCACUAGUUCCUAAGAUAUUUGUA
This 50-nucleotide small RNA is filed under the name Arabidopsis thaliana (thale cress). RNAcentral describes it as "ATSL266400". The record is from RNAcentral. Lineage: Eukaryota; Viridiplantae; Streptophyta; Magnoliopsida; Brassicales; Brassicaceae.